Molecule: ribosomal RNA, 376 nt
Filed under: uncultured bacterium
Lineage: Bacteria
Description: bacterial SSU rRNA
Rfam family: Bacterial small subunit ribosomal RNA
Source: RNAcentral
AUACGUAGGUGGCAAGCGUUGUCCGGAAUUACUGGGUGUAAAGGGCGUGUAGGCGGGGAUGCAAGUCAGAUGUGAAACCCCAUGGCUUAACUGUGGGAUUGCAUCUGAAACUGUGUUUCUUGAGUGUUGGAGAGGGAAGUGGAAUUCCUAGUGUAGCGGUGAAAUGCGUAGAGAUUAGGAGGAACACCAGUGGCGAAGGCGGCUUCCUGGCCAACAACUGACGCUGAGGCGCGAAAGCGUGGGGAGCAAACAGGAUUAGAUACCCUGGUAGUCCACGCCGUAAACGAUGGAUACUAGGUGUAGGUGGUAACAAGCCAUCUGUGCCGCAGUAAACACAAUAAGUAUCCCACCUGGGGAGUACGGCCGCAAGGUUGAA